Molecule: long non-coding RNA, 410 nt
Filed under: Salmo salar (Atlantic salmon)
Lineage: Eukaryota; Metazoa; Chordata; Actinopteri; Salmoniformes; Salmonidae
Description: lncRNA (ENSSSAG00000112777.1)
Source: RNAcentral
CUGGGGUUAUAGGUCCAUGACAAUAACAAGUAUCAAUACUGGGGUUAUAGGUCCAUGACAAUAACAAGUAUCAAUACUGGGGUUAUAGGUCCAUGACACGGUUGUCGUAUGAUGGAGACCAAGGGUGUAUCGUUCCACAUUUUAUUAUAACUGUGAAACGAUGCAAGACAUACAAAUAAACGAAUAAACAAAAACAACAAACCGUGACGAAGAGGUGCAACAUGCACUAACUCAAAAUAAUCUCCCACAAACCCAGGUGGGAAAAACAUCUACUUAAAUAUGAUCCCCAAUUAGAGACAACGAUGACCAGCUGCCUCUAAUUGGAGAUCAUCCCCCCCAAAAAAACAAACAUAGAAAAACAGAAACUAGAACAUAACAACAUAGAAAAUUUAAACUGGACAAAACCUCGU